AGCACUCACAAAGAUGGAGCCAAAAACAACACUUGGCUCUGGUGGAAAGCCUAUGGUUCUUAAAAGGGGAUCCUUUUCUAUUCUGUUGCCAUUAUCAGGACCAGGUGAAUGAUUCUGGCUGGUCAGGAUAAUCAGGAACUUUAAACCAAUGAGUAUAACAAUUUGUGAUUUAUUUAAACAGCUCAACUAUAAAAUAAACAAAAUGUAAAAAAGAUUUAAAAAAAGUCAAAUUGGAAAUAAAGUAUAGUUGUCUCAAACACAUUUCACCUGUUGGUUUCCUCAGUUGGUAGCAAAAUAAUGUCAGUGUACAGUCGUGUACAUUAAAUAGCUGAAAUUCCCGGGCUUUUUCACUCUUCAUGGAACGCAUUGUGCAUCCCAUUGGCUUCAGGAGCACCUAAUGAAUAAUUUUCCAUGCUUCCGUCCAGUGGCGUACACACAACCCAUGGGGCCCCGGUGCAAAAACUGAUCUGUGGUUCCCCGCGUGCAACACGUGGCGGCGGGCAGGGGUCGCAGGGCUGCGGCCGCGGUAUGUACGCCAUUGCAUGCAGAUACACAUUCACUUAAAGGACCACUACAGACACCCAGAUCACAUCACCUCAAUGUUUUAACCCUGCAGCUGAAAACAUAGUUUCAGAGAAACUAUGUUUCACUGAGGGUUAAUCCAGCCUCUAGUGGCUGUCUCAUUGACAGCCACUAGAGGAGCCUCCGCGCUUCUCGCUGUGAAAAUCAGUGAGGAGACGCUGAACGUCCAUAGGAAAGCAUUGAGUGGGCGGUUUGAAUGCGCACGCAGCUCUUGCCACGCAUGCGCGUUCGGAGCUGAGAGGCAGAUCGGGGCGGAGAGAUCCCCAGCGCCAAGGGAGUCUGGCGCUGGAGAAAGGCAAGUGCUUAAGACACACACACACACUCUCUCACGAACAGACGCAUACACACUAGUUGACAGAAACACACUCAGUGACACAUACAUACACUCACUAACAGACGCACACAAACUAACACACACACUCACAUACGUUUAAAAAAAAAAAAAAUCCCCCCAGCCUCUCUACCUUUGGGAGUGCUGAGGGGAUUCCCUGCGGUCCAGUGUUGUCACCUGGUGGGCGCGCGAGGGAGCACUCUUCCCUGAGUGCUUCCUGUUCAGCUCCCUCGCGCACUGCGUACUGAUGCCGGAGCCGGAAUACCCUCGCGUGCCUGCCAGCCUUCCCGCCAGGUGACACCAGGGCCAGCCUCGGGGGGCUCCUGGGCCCCCAGGAGAAGAGGCUGGCCACAGUGGCAUACAUACCGGGUCACAGCCGCGACCCCACUAUGUACGCCGCUGCUUCCGUCUUCCUGUCCUCGAAACGCACAAUGAGUUCCAACGUCUGACGUCUACACGUCUUAUGUCGGAUCUGAUUGUUUGAGUGGAAUGCAUCCAUGCAUUCCAAAAGUUCGAACUCUUCUCCCAUUUAGCUAUAAUGAUGUAGUGUUGUCUAUAUUUUCUCUGAUAUCAUCGUUGAGAAAUAUUUUGAAACUUACAUGACUACAUUGCUCAUUUAAAAAAAUAUAAAUCAAUGAAAUAUGUAUAAUAUAUUAAAUUCUAUGUGUGCAUUUAAAAAGCUUAUAAUAAAGAACACAAUAAUAUUCCUAUAUUCUUCUUGUGAAAAAAAUAGAUAAAAUAAUAGUAAUACUAAGUCUUAUACAUAAAAGAAGGGGGUUUAGUAAAAUAAAACAAUGAAGGCCUUUAAUGAAUAGAAGAAUUCCAAAGAGCAGCAGCAGGAAAAGUAAAUGAAAAUUGCAGUCAGGCAGCAGACAGAACUAAACGAUCAAUCUGGAUCUAGAUCAGGAAACAGGCGGGAGCAAUCCUCCAGGGAAUCAGGAACCAGGAACAUAAGCUGAAAAUUAGGGCAAUAGGCAGGUAUACAGCUUUAAUCCCUUAAGGAACAAACUUCUGUAAUAAAAGGGAAUCAUGACAUAUUGUGUCCUUAAGAGGUUAAGCAAAAUAACCAAGCACUAACUGGAAGGUGUGCUGGGUUUAAGUAGGUGGCUAGCAUCACAUGACUGGCCACCUCCCACCAGUAGGUGGAGUACACGGGUUAUAUAAAGAGGUCAGGGACUCGGCACCAUCUUGUUUUACACCAUAGUUGCUGACUAUUAUGGAUCCACAGCUCUCCUCCUUCUCCCUGUGCAGAACCCCGGCGGUGAGAGGUAUAGAAGAAGCCGCCGCGGACCCAGGGUCUCCAGGAGCGGCGAGUACCGCAAUUCUGCCGUAAGGGCGGCACAGGCGCCCAGGGGCAGGUGAGUACCCCGCCGUGCCUUGACAAUAGAUAAGGCCGCAGAGGCAAUUUAAGACAUAGAUAAAAUUUUUGGAAAAGCAUGUCAAUGUAGCCCUAAUAGUAUAGUUGCUUUUGAUAUGUACCCCUACAUUUGUGAUCAAUCUUUUUUUACUCAUAGUCUCCCUGCAGGCUAAGCAUGAUCCGCAGCCAUGAAAUCCUGUGCUGCAUUGUAAAAAAUGUUUAGGACGUCUAAUCCUCAAACUAUUUUGUACUAACACAAACUAUUUUGUACUAACAUAUUUUUCAUAUUUCUACAGCCUCCAUAUAUUAUCUGUGGUUUAGUCAGUACUAUACAUUUUAAGAUGGAAUAAUCUCUCAAAAUGUGCCAAUACUGUUGGAUAAGUCUGCAUGUUUUUUUUUUUUAUUUUGACUGUUAAAAUCACAAACAAAUGGUACACUUUUCUUGUCUUCUAUAAUUUUUUUUUUUGUUUGUUUGUUUUGUAAGUAAAUAAAUCUUUUCUUGGAAUGUUCUUUAUUUCUUCCAUACAUCUCAUAAGUUCUCCUUUGUCAUAACCUUUCUCAGUAAAUUAGUCUUUAAUUCUGUUUGCUUGUACUAUAUAAUUGUGAUCUUGUGUGCAGGGCCGGUGCAAGGAUUUUUGCCGCCCUAGGCAAAAGAAAGAUUUGCCGCCCCUCAACCUCCCCCCCAGGAGUAGUGCCAGUGCUGCACACAGUGUGUGUUUACAUUAAAAAGCCUGCAGGGACAAACUAUAUAGACACCAGAACAACUGUAUUAAGCUGCAGUGGUUCUGGGGACUAUUGUGUCCAUUUAAUGUGAGGUAAAGUAGAGAUUAGUGUCACUAAUAAUAUACUAGAUUGCCUACUUACAAUCAGAUGAGGAUGGUGAUGGGCUCUGGCUGCAGUCUGGCUCCACUGGUCUGGUGUAGAACAGGAUCUCUGGAGGCUGUUUGUAACUGUGGCCACAAAAUUCAAUGUUCUGGGAGAACGGGAAGCAGCUCCAUUUUUUUGGGGCCUCUUACAUAGCUCAAGGUCUGGGCCCCAGGGCCUGACGGGGAGUAUGCCCAUAAAGCCCACCCAUACGUCCACCUACAUGUUCCACCCAUGAGUUCGCUCACAGGGAGUAGAGUGUGUAGGGGAUGUGUUAUGUGUUACUGUAGAUAAUCUAAUGCGUGUGCUUAUGGAAUGUAGUGUAUAGGGAUACCAGUUUGUGUAGGUGAUGCAGUGUUUUUGUAUGUAGUGGAAGCAGUGUGUUUUUGUGUAAGGGAUAGAAAGCAGUGAGUGUUUGUAUGCAUAAGGGAUGAAAAGUGUGCUUCUGUGUAUGUAAGGGAUGCAGUGUGUGUGUAAGAGAUGCAUUGUGUUUCUUUGUGUGUGUAAGAGAAGCAUGUGUGUGUGUAAGGGUUGCAUUGUGUGUUUCUCUGUGUGUAAGGGAAGCAUGUUGUGUUUCUGUGUGUAUAGGGAUGCAUUGUGUGUGCGCGCGGUGUGAAAGAGCUCCCUGUCCUGCCCCCUGUCCUAUAGAGCUCUCCCUUCCAUUCCUUAGAGAUCUCCCCUGACCCUUAGUGGUCUCUCCUCUCCCCCACCACCUCCCUUAGUGGUCUCCUUUUCUCCCCGACUUUCCAUUCGUGGUCUCUCCUCUCCCCCCACCCUCCCCUAGUGGUCUAUCCUCCACCCCCCUCCCUUAGCGGUCUCUCCUCACACCCCUCCCCUAGUGGUCUCUCCACCGCCCCCUCCCUCCUUUAGUGGUCUCUCC
Non-coding RNA from Pelobates cultripes (western spadefoot toad), 4014 nucleotides. NCBI's taxonomy places the organism in Eukaryota, Metazoa, Chordata, Amphibia, Anura, Pelobatidae. The record is from the annotation of a GenBank genome assembly.